UAGGGAAUCUUCCGCAAUGGACGCAAGUCUGACGGAGCAACGCCGCGUGAGUGAAGAAGGAUUUCGGUUCGUAAAACUCUGUUGUUAGAGAAGAACAGCGCAUAGAGUAACUGUUAUGCGUGUGACGGUAUCUAACCAGAAAGCCACGGCUAACUACGUGCCAGCAGCCGCGGUAAUACGUAGGUGGCAAGCGUUGUCCGGAUUUAUUGGGCGUAAAGCGAGCGCAGGCGGUCAAUUAAGCCUGAUGUGAAAGCCCCCGGCUCAACCGGGGAGGGUCAUUGGAAACUGGUUGACUUGAGUGCAGAAGAGGAGAGUGGAAUUCCAUGUGUAGCGGUGAAAUGCGUAGAUAUAUGGAGGAACACCAGUGGCGAAGGCGACUCUCUGGUCUGUAACUGACGCUGAGGCUCGAAAGCGUGGGUAGCAAACAGG
Molecule: ribosomal RNA, 429 nt
Filed under: Bacteroidota bacterium
Lineage: Bacteria; Pseudomonadati; Bacteroidota
Description: Bacteroidetes bacterium partial 16S ribosomal RNA
Rfam family: Bacterial small subunit ribosomal RNA
Source: RNAcentral